AGAAGUAUAAUGCAUGCUUAGCAUGCAUGAGGUCCUGGGUUCAAUCCCCAGUAUCUCUU
RNAcentral lists this transfer RNA (59 nucleotides) under Camelus bactrianus (Bactrian camel). It matches the Rfam family "tRNA", at positions 14 to 71 of the family's 71-position model. Rfam says of the family: Transfer RNA (tRNA) molecules are approximately 80 nucleotides in length. Their secondary structure includes four short double-helical elements and three loops (D, anti-codon, and T loops). Lineage: Eukaryota; Metazoa; Chordata; Mammalia; Artiodactyla; Camelidae. The record is from Rfam by way of RNAcentral. RNAcentral also lists the same sequence under 2 other names.